RNAcentral lists this ribosomal RNA (563 nucleotides) under uncultured bacterium. RNAcentral describes it as "bacterial SSU rRNA". It matches the Rfam family "Bacterial small subunit ribosomal RNA", at positions 338 to 917 of the family's 1533-position model. The record is from RNAcentral.
CCUACGGGAGGCAGCAGUCGGGAAUUUUGGGCAAUGGGCGAAAGCCUGACCCAGCAACGCCGCGUGAAGGAUGAAGUCUUUCGGGAUGUAAGCUUCGUAAGAAUAGGAAGAAUAAAUGACGGUACUAUUUGUAAGGUCCGGCUAACUACGUGCCAGCAGCCGCGGUAAUACGUAGGGACCAAGCGUUGUUCGGAUUUACUGGGCGUAAAGGGCGCGUAGGCGGCGUGACAAGUCACUUGUGAAAUCUCCGGGCUUAACUCGGAACGGUCAAGUGAUACUGUUGUGCUAGAGUGCAGAAGGGGCAAUCGGAAUUCUUGGUGUAGCGGUGAAAUGCGUAGAUAUCAAGAGGAACACCUGAGGUGAAGACGGGUUGCUGGGCUGACACUGACGCUGAGGCGCGAAAGCUAGGGUAGCAAACGGGAUUAGAUACCCCGGUAGUCCUAGCCCUAAACGAUGAAUACUUGGUGUCUGGAGUUUUAAUUCUCCGGGUGCCGUCGCUAACGUUUUUAGUACUCCGCCUGGGGAGUACGCACGCAAGUGUGAAACUCAAAGGAAUUGACGGA